CUCCUGGAAACGGGUGGUAAUGCCGGAUGCUCCAGUUGAUCGCAUGGUCUUCUGGGAAAGCUUUCGCGGUAUGGGAUGGGGUCGCGUCCUAUCAGCUUGACGGCGGGGUAACGGCCCACCGUGGCUUCGACGGGUAGCCGGCCUGAGAGGGCGACCGGCCACAUUGGGACUGAGAUACGGCCCAGACUCCUACGGGAGGCAGCAGUGGGGAAUAUUGCACAAUGGGCGCAAGCCUGAUGCAGCGACGCCGCGUGAGGGAUGGAGGCCUUCGGGUUGUAAACCUCUUUUAUCGGGGAGCAAGCGAGAGUGAGUUUACCCGUUGAAUAAGCACCGGCUAACUACGUGCCAGCAGCCGCGGUAAUACGUAGGGUGCAAGCGUUAUCCGGAAUUAUUGGGCGUAAAGGGCUCGUAGGCGGUUCGUCGCGUCCGGUGUGAAAGUCCAUCGCUUAACGGUGGAUCCGCGCCGGGUACGGGCGGGCUUGAGUGCGGUAGGGGAGACUGGAAUUCCCGGUGUAACGGUGGAAUGUGUAGAUAUCGG
Molecule: ribosomal RNA, 538 nt
Filed under: Bifidobacterium longum subsp. infantis
Lineage: Bacteria; Bacillati; Actinomycetota; Actinomycetes; Bifidobacteriales; Bifidobacteriaceae
Also listed under: 2 other names
Description: bacterial SSU rRNA
Rfam family: Bacterial small subunit ribosomal RNA
Source: RNAcentral